AACGCAAAUUGCGCCUUUUUCGGAAGGCAUGUCUGUUUGAGGGCACCAUUUAACAAAUAAUGUGCAAUUUCUUUUUUUUUGUGUGCACACGUUGAUGGGCUUUCCAAGAAAAAUUUAUUUUUUUUGGUGGCGCAUAAUGAACAGCGCGAAAGCUUUUUUUUCAGUUCGAGUGUAGUAAAAUCUUUGCUUGAGUUGUGAAAAGCAUAGUAGCGCAAUGGGUGUGGCAAUUUCUUCCUUGCCCCAAUGCCACUCUUUCUCGCGAAAAGAAGGUCUAAUCUUCAGGGCCUCAAAUCAGACAAGAGUACCCGCUGAACUUAA
RNAcentral lists this unclassified non-coding RNA (318 nucleotides) under uncultured fungus. RNAcentral's name for it is "partial contains 5.8S ribosomal RNA, internal transcribed spacer 2, and large subunit ribosomal RNA". The record is from RNAcentral. Lineage: Eukaryota; Fungi.